This 5831-nucleotide small RNA is filed under the name Pan troglodytes (chimpanzee). Its description in RNAcentral is "retained intron". Lineage: Eukaryota; Metazoa; Chordata; Mammalia; Primates; Hominidae. The record is from RNAcentral.
GGCGCUUGGUUCCCCAGCAACCGGGAGACGCGUCUGCUGCGUGGAACCGCCGAGUUCCCAGCGCUUGAGAAGGAAAAUUCUGGAUCUGUUAUCUGUGAGGAGGCCACUCCAUUGACAGUUGUGUAAAACUCUGCUGCUUUCCCCAGCUCCAACCUCUCUGGUCUUCAACAACACUAUCAUCAGGGAACACGUGGGGGAAGAUGAACCGGCCGUGCAACUCGAUGGAGCCGAGGGUGAUGGACGAUGACAUGCUCAAGCUGGCCGUCGGGGACCAGGGCCCCCAGGAGGAGGCCGGGCAGCUGGCCAAGCAGGAGGGCAUCCUCUUCAAGGAUGUCCUGUCCCUGCAGCUGGACUUUCGGAACAUCCUCCGCAUAGACAACCUCUGGCAGUUUGAGAACUUGAGGAAGCUGCAGCUGGACAAUAACAUCAUUGAGAAGAUCGAGGGCCUGGAGAACCUCGCACACCUCGUCUGGCUGGAUCUGUCUUUCAACAACAUUGAGACCAUCGAGGGGCUGGACACACUGGUGAACCUGGAGGACCUGAGCUUGUUCAACAACCGGAUCUCCAAGAUCGACUCCCUGGACGCCCUCGUCAAGCUGCAGGUGUUGUCGCUGGGCAACAACCGGAUUGACAACAUGAUGAACAUCAUCUACCUCCGGCGGUUCAAGUGCCUGCGGACGCUCAGCCUCUCUAGGAACCCUAUCUCUGAGGCAGAGGAUUACAAGAUGUUCAUCUGUGCCUACCUUCCUGACCUCGUGUACCUGGACUACCGGCGCAUUGAUGACCACACAGCAAGUGUCUCCCUCUCAGUCUCCCAGCCCUGUGAGACAGAGUCCUCAAGCCCCCAGGUUUCUUGGAAAAGGGGCAUUGAAGAGUAGCUUCCCCUGCCCACAACUAGGAGAGAAAGGGCAGCUCCCUCUUCCUAAUCCCUUUACCUGACUCUGUCAGAGUGAUUCCAGCAGCACCCUUGUAAGUACUGUUUUGUGUGCGUUCCCAGGGGCCAGGCCUCUUCCACACACUGUCCCAGGGCCACCUCACAGCCAUCCUGCACUGUCUAGUUUUCCAGAUGAAGAAGCUGAGGAGGGCUGGGAGCAGUGGCUCACGCCUGUAAUCCCAGCACUUUGGGAGGCCGAGGCGGGAGGAUUGCUUGAGCCAAGGAGUUCAAGACCAGCCUGGGCAACAGAGUGAAAAAACUUCUGAUUUUCACUCUGAUGGGAGACCCCAUCUCUACAGAAACUACCAAAAUUAGCCAGGUGUGGUGGCACACACCAGUAAUCCUGGCUACUCACAAGGCCGAGGUAGAAGAAUCGCUUGAGACUAGGAGUUUGAGGCUGCAGUGAACUAAGAAGAUGCCAUUGCACUCCAGCCUGGGCAACAGAGUGAAAAAACUUAAAAAUUAGAAAAGAAAAGAAGUUGAGGAGGCCCAAGGAGGGCAAGCAGCCAGGAUCACUGGCUCAAGGCCAAGCCAGGAUUCACCCUAAGUUGGUGUCAUCCCAGGAGCAAUAUUAACAGCUGAGCUCCAGAGGGAACCAGGCCAUCAGAGGCUCAGGCCUGGCUCUCAGGGGCAGAGUCAGGGCUGGAGGUAGAGACCUGAGUGUCAUCUGAGGAUUGCCAAUUGGCAGUAGUUGAAGCCAUGGUACAGGUGGGAUCACCUGGGGCACAUGGAGUGAGCUGGGGGACGGGGACUAAGUUCUAGAGGUGCCAGCAUUCCUGGCCAGGUACAGGGGGAUGAGCCAGUGUGGUGGAGAGAGCCAAGGGCCAGACCCUCGUGACCAGCCCUAUGGCCUCACUCUACCUCUGUCCUGUUGUCCUCCUUCCCUAAAAGAGGGCCAGAAGGCCUGCUGAGGGCUGUUGGGAGUGAGAGAGCAAGUCCUCUGUGGAGAACACCCAGUCUGGGGCGAGGGGAGCACUCCAUUGCUGUGGCUCCUGCCCUGGAGAUGGCCCCGGGAACCCCAGCCUGCCACGCUGCCUUCCGCUCCUCCUGGUCUUUCCCUGAUUUCCCUGCGCUCACAAAAACCUGGUGAGGGUCAUCAGGAGAUGGGCAUUCUCAUCCACGAGACCUCAUGGCUUUCACAGCCUUCAUGCAGGCCCCUGUGCAACACCCCUGCCCAUGCGCGGGAGGCUGCAGCAUGGCAGAGGCGGCAUGGCAGAGGCGGUGUGGCUUGGAGGAACCUCUGGUAACAAUGCCACUCCCGUUCCCUGGUCAGAAAAAGCUUGCGGAGGCUAAGCACCAGUACAGCAUCGAUGAGCUGAAGCACCGGGAGAACCUGAUGCAGGCCCAGCUGGAGGACGAGCAGGCGCGGCGGGAGGAGCUAGAGAAGCACAAGACUGCGUUUGUGGAACACCUGAACGGCUCCUUCCUGUUUGACAGCAUGUACGCUGAGGACUCAGAGGGCAACAAGCUGUCCUACCUGCCUGGUGUCGGUGAGCUCCUUGAGACCUACAAGGACAAGUUUGUCAUCAUCUGCGUGAAUAUUUUUGAGUAUGGCCUGAAACAGCAGGAGAAGCGGAAAACAGAGCUUGACACCUUCAGUGAAUGUGUCCAUGAGGCCAUCCAGGAAAACCAGGAGCAGGGCAAACGCAAGAUUGCCAAGUUCGAGGAGAAGCACUUGUCGAGUUUAAGUGCCAUUCGAGAGGAGUCGGAACUGCGCAACAUUGAGAAGAUGAUCCUAGAAUGCAGUGCUGACAUCAGUGAGUUGUUCGAUGCGCUCAUGACGCUGGAGAUGCAGCUGGUGGAGCAGCUGGAGGUAAGGCUGGGCCCUGGGCACAAGUGCCAGAAUCUGGCGAUGCAGCUGCACAUCCAUAGGUGAACUGUAGCCUUCAUGGGCACGCCUCUGCUGGAAACAUCCAGCACGACUCAGCGUGGCAGGCUGUAGCUUUCUUGCUCAUCAGUACUGUUUGCUUUUAUUACAUUUUAAUCAUUUAGAUUGGAAGUGAUUCUUGUGGAAAAUGAGAGGUGAGCUCAUUCUUCUGAAAUGUUCCCCCUAUCCUGGAAGUCAGUGGGGAGAGGUUUUUGAUUAGACCCCUGGAGCUAUCCGGGUACUCUAAAGGCAAAGCGCACCCCCACUUGGGGACCAAACAAAGACCCCUCCGCAUUGCAGCCUGCAGUUGCCGCUUCUCAGGCGACGCGAGGAGGCUGCAACUCAGCACUAAGUAGUGGAAAUGAAAAGCGCCGCUGUCUGAAAUUCAUUAGCAGCCAGAGUAUGUGUUACAAGGCAGCGGAGGCUGGGAGUCUGAAGUGGUGUGAUGAAUUGAACCUCAUCGGAUGCUGCUGUGGCUGGGCCAAGUGAUAGCACCUAAUCAAUUCCUCACACGUCAAGUGACACCUCAGACAUGGGAUAGAUUUCCCCAUCACAUCACAGGGCAGGUGCUCCCUCCCUGCUGGAGAGCACAGGCACUGCAGAAGCAGCGCACAGUGCCGGGGGAGAGUGAGGCAGCAGCUCCCAGCCUUUUCAGGCACGGAGAUUGCUUUUCAACAUCCAAACAUUUCCCAGAACCCAUGUGCCAUCCUACUUGUAUUACUGGUGGCCAGAAAACCACAAGCGCAAUCAUGCUUUUCAAUGACCCUAUUUUUAUUCACGAGAACAGCACAUACAUGUGUUUGAAAAUUAUGUGAUGUGCUCACUCUGCAGACAGUACUCACAUUCCUAUAGAUUCCACCCCUGCCCACCUUGCAGCCCCUGGAGUCUAUAGCAGAUGGGAGUGGGGCACUCCGAGAGUGGCAGGCCUGGAGAUCACAUCUUCCAUUGUUCCUUCAAUCAACACUAACUCCCAUUUGGGCCUUGCUAAGCACCACAAAACAGCAACUAACUGAAAGAGAUCUGGAGUGCCAGCCCGCUCCUACUGAGGGCCUCCUCUCUGUCAGGCACCUUGCAAAGCAUUUUUUGUGAAGUGACUCAUUUAACCUCACCACAACGCCACAACGCAGGGAUUAUGCAGGUAACCUAUUUCCCAGAUGAGGAAGAUGAGGCCCAAGGAGGUGAAAUGCCUUUCCCAGAGUUACACACAGUGCUGGAGCUGGGAAUACUGACCCAGGCAGUCUAGCUCUUAACAGCUCACUCCACUGUUUCCCUGGAGGUGAUGCACAGAUGUCACUGAGAAACCCAAAGGAGAGGGGGGGUUGGCUGUGUGUGUGUGUGUGUUGGGCAGGCAGGUAAGGGGAGUAAGACCAGGACAAGUGUUCCUGGCAAAGUUCCAGUGACAGCAUUAAACAUUCAGAUGGUGAGGGAGUUAAUAUGGUUGGAGAACAACAACUUUAGAGAGAGCAGAGGGGUCAGUUCACAACCAUCUGCUCAGGAGGGUCAAGAUGGGUGGUCUUUACGCUGAAGGUCUGUGAUUAGAGGAGCUGGUUGCUAAAUUUUGAGGAGUACCUUUUGCUCUGUGCUGGACAUCUAAAUAUGCAUGUUAACUGUGUUCUUUAACAUUUCCAGGAGACUAUAAACAUGUUUGAAAGGAACAUUGUUGACAUGGUAGGACUGUUUAUCGAAAAUGUCCAAAGCCUAUAUCCUUUCUGUGAUGACCUUCCCCCAUGGGGAGGUGCUACAGAGCCCCUCGGCUUGUCCUGGCCUCUGGACAAAAGAAUGUUCCACAGGGUCUGAGGAGGUUUCCCGACCCUCAGAACAAUGAUGGCCUGGUUAGAGCUGUGGUUUGGAUGCCCAGAGGGACAACAUCCAAACUGUUUGCAGUAGGCUCCCAGCAUGAUUGUUCUCAUAUGAGUGAUGUUCACUAGGAAAUGACGCCCCCUGUGUUGCAGGCAAGCACACUCUGGGGUUGAGGCAACCCCCACGUGGAAGACACUAUAAGGAGUACAUCAGGUGAAAUGUUAGGGUGAGGAGCCAACAUUGGAGCAUGGCCAACCCUUCUUCCACCCGAACUCAGGGCACUCCACAUGGGGCAAACUGCUGUGCUCCAGCUAGCAGCAGCCCUGUGGUCCUGCCCUCCUGGGGCUCACAGUCCCUCAGGGAGACAAGUUAUAGAGGCAACAAGUGGUACCAAAUGCACAGGGUGAGAAGCAGUUAACCCAGAGGCCAGGAGCCUCCAUGCAGGAGGGAGAGAAGAGUGUGAUGGCAGGGGCCGAGGGUCCGUCCAAGGUGUGGGGCAGGGGCAGGGAGUCGGGGAAGGCCCAGGGUUCAGAGCUUGUGAGUGGACGGUGCUGCCAGCCGGAAUUUCCGAGCUCGCCUUGGGCCCUUAAAGUCUGUCUCCCGCCGUCUGAGAGCAUCAGGGACGCGCCGGGCCUGCUCCUCCCGGGCCUUUGCUUAACUCGGGGCUGCACGAUGGCCCAGUGCCGGGACCUGGAGAAUCACCACCACGAGAAGCUCCUGGAGAUCUCUAUCAGCACCCUGGAGAAGAUUGUCGAGGGCGACCUGGGCGAGGACCUGCCUAACGACCUGCGCGCGCUUUUUGUCGAUAAAGAUACGAUUGUUAAUGCUGUCGGGGCAUCGCACGACAUCCACCUCCUGAAGAUUGACAAUCGAGAAGAUGAGCUGGUGACCAGAAUCAACUCUUGGUGUACACGUUUAAUAGACAAGAUUCACAAGGAUGAGAUCAUGAGGAACCGCAAGCGCGUGAAGGAGAUCAAUCAGUACAUCGACCACAUGCAGAGCGAACUGGACAACCUGGAAUGUGGCGACAUCCUAGACUAGAUGAAUGUCAGCCACAGGAGCUUCUUCAAAACAUAGCACCAGCCCCAGCCAGGAGAAGGAAGUGCACACGCCUCACCCAGCACCUCUAGAGAGUUGCUGGGCAUCUCUCAACCGCGAUCCCCAACACCAUUCUUCCCCCACCCCUGGAAAAACUUCCAAAAGUAGAGAAAAUAAAGGACUCAUUUCACA